Selaginella moellendorffii is the source of this 989-nucleotide long non-coding RNA. RefSeq lists it as uncharacterized. The transcript has 7 exons. The record is from RefSeq and is a predicted model, not a curated record. Lineage: Eukaryota; Viridiplantae; Streptophyta; Lycopodiopsida; Selaginellales; Selaginellaceae.
CAAGAAUUAUAAAAAGCUUUAACGCCUUUGUGGAUUCAUGAGUUCGCUCGCUGAACCUUUGUUGGCUAUCUUACAGCAAAGUGAGCGCUCCCAAAACCGCUGCAAAUUGGUUGCAGGCCAGGAAAUAGUUUUCAUUUUUUUUUUUCCUGGACCAGCCGGAAACAGGCUAAGUUGCGCGUUGCAACUGUUGCAACUUGUCAAGGUUCGUACGAGGGCCAUCACGUUGCACGAGGAGCAUUCGAUUUAGUAUUGAUGAAUGUCACAGCUGUUUUCCACAAACCGCUGUAUGCAGGAAACAAGUACUACUUUCAAUGUUUUGUCACAGGAAUUAGCGCUGGAUUAAACGUCCAACUCUUCGAGCUUUCAGCUGGACGGAAAAAGUUUCUGUGAGGUUUUCUACAAGCAGGGGCUGCUGUCGGAGAUGAGGAUCAAGGGGUACGAGCCGGAUCGAAAGGUGGUGAUCCACAGCAUGGAAGAGGAGGACAAGGACGAGGUGCUGUUCUAUCACAGCGAGAAGCUGGCGGUGGCGUUUGGGAUUGCCAGCACGCCACCCAGGACGCCGCUUUGCAUCGUCAAGAACUUGCGAGUGCGCUCCGACUGCCACUCGGCAAUCAAGUUUGUUUAGCUGCAGUACCUUGUAUUUGAAACUGGAGGAUCCCAAGGUUUCAACGGAAAACAAUGGCGUUUUUGUACUCACAUAAGGAAAGAUAUAACUAGGUGCAAGUCGCGCUCGUGGCUUCCUUCACCACGGCUUUUCUCAAAAUCAGAUUAGCUUGUGGGAACAGAAAGAAGAGAACUAUGCGAACUCCCAGCAAAAUAUCGCUCGCAAGGAGACGAGAGACGAGGAGGAAAGUACAAGGAGAUACACACUGCUUCGAUGAGGUUUACUCUUGGUUUCCCGAUUUCUGGUUGCAUUUUGCUAGCAAUGUUUACAGGGACGAGACGAAAUUACAUGACGUAAACACACGCACAGAGUGCUUCAGAAGGUU